Long non-coding RNA from Monodelphis domestica (gray short-tailed opossum), 394 nucleotides. RefSeq lists it as uncharacterized. NCBI's taxonomy places the organism in Eukaryota, Metazoa, Chordata, Mammalia, Didelphimorphia, Didelphidae. The record is from RefSeq and is a predicted model, not a curated record.
AACAGAAAGGAAGGUGGGCUGGUUAUGAUGGGAUGAGAGGGAAGGAUAAUUGAGGGCCAGCCAGUGGGCUCCCUUGGUAUCCACUCAAGCCAUGAGCCCCCAACCAGAGACAGCUUUCUGGCAAAACACCUCAAUUUUAGGUUUAUCUUAUCCUCUUCUCUGUGGAUAUUCUCCCUCUUGCCAAAAGUUUCCCAUUGUCUCUUCCCAACUUCAUUUCCAAUUCUCUGACUCUCUCCCUGAAGCGGUAAAUACUCUGAUAUAGGUUAUGCCAGUACUGUCAUACAAUUGGAAGGUAAGAGUUUAAAUGUUGAAUAAUGGAUUCUCCAAAGAAAAAUGUGCUCAUGAUACUUUAAAAUUUAAUCUGCAUUUGAUUUCAUAUGUAUAAGUCAUAUUU